UUUUAAAGUACAGAAAAAAAAAAAAAAACUGAGUAUACACAUGCAGUAUAAAGCAGCCAAAAGGCAUUUCCCCGUAGUCACUUUCAGGAAAUGUUUCAAGAUGAAAAGCAAAAACACUCAAGUCCCUUGAAAUCUUGGGCUGAUUUUAUUAUUCUCAAGGCCUAGGCUGUUCUCCCCCACCAUACUUUGCUGAGCAGAAAUAAAGCACCUCCAACCAGAAGCAACUCCUCAGCCUCAAUUUUCAAUACAAUUCGCUUUUCAUUAAAAGUUCAAGUUUCUCAGGAUCUAGACGUAUAGUACGAUCAUAUUACAGUACUCGGGAAGAGCAUUUUCUUUGUUGUUGACCCUGCUAGGGAAACAGGUCUUGACUCAGCCAAAGUGGCGUUCUUGUGGGUGAUUAAUGACAGGCCUAGAUCUCGCCCCAGUGACAUCCAUCCCCACCCCCCAUCCCCUCGGUACUAAAAUCAGCCAUGUCUGAACUGGAGGAGGGGCUGCCUCCCCGCCUCAAACCACCCAGUCCCACAGUUAAUAGCUGCAACCAAUCGAUUCAGGGAGACAGACAUCGAGAUUUGGGUGAAAUGUGACCCUCUCUCGCCUAAAUUUAUGAAUAAUAUCGCCCUCUCUGAUCAUUUCCGCUGGGGCUCUCCAGACUACGGAAACACUCAAUUCCAGUCAUUCAGCCCAAAGAAAAGAUCUUCCUCUUCCCCACAAUACCCGGCAAGGAACGGCCUUGCCUCCCCACCUCCCGACUCCCCCACCCCCUUGACAUCAUGCCAUUUCUAUUGUGUCGCCGAGGCUGGAGGACCUAACUAAAAGAAAGGUGUCUACUACUUUGCUAAGAACGAGCACCAGUCCGGCACCCCCACCCCUGGGGCCGCGUUCCGCGUCCCGGGACCCCAGUUCUCUCGCCCACCCCGGCGGCCGCGGAGCCGAGUCCCACCUGUGGUGAGACGGGAAGAGACGUCGCCAAAGGGGGACGGCUCCAUUCGGAGAUACUUCUGCGGCGAGGCGGCGGC
Molecule: long non-coding RNA, 1016 nt
Filed under: Lynx pardinus (Iberian lynx)
Lineage: Eukaryota; Metazoa; Chordata; Mammalia; Carnivora; Felidae
Source: RNAcentral